AGUGAACGCUGGCGGUAGGCCUAACACAUGCAAGUCGAACGGCAGAAGGGUGAUUGCUCGUUGAUACAGCUGCGGAGUGGUGAGUAAUUGCUGGGAAUCUGGCUGUUUACUUUUUAUUAGGUGAGGAAAUGGGGGCUAAUACGGUAUAAGCCCAGAGGGACUAAGGGGGGGAGCUUCGGACCUCACGAUAUUAGAUGAUCCUAUGUCGGAUUAGCUAGUUGGUGGGGUAAAGGCCUACCAAGGCGACGAUCCGUAACUGGUCUGAGAGGAUGAUCAGUCACACUGGAACUGAGACACGGUCCAGACUCCUACGGGAGGCAGCAGUGGGGAAUAUUGGACAAUGGGCGCAAGCCUGAUCCAGCCAUGCCGCGUGUGUGAAGAAGGUCUUCGGAUUGUAAAGCACUUUUAGUUGGGAAGAAGGGCAGUAAGUUAAUACCUUGCUGUUCUGACGUUACCAACAGAAUAAGCACCGGCUAACUUCGUG
This 484-nucleotide ribosomal RNA is filed under the name uncultured bacterium. RNAcentral's name for it is "partial 16S ribosomal RNA". It matches the Rfam family "Bacterial small subunit ribosomal RNA", at positions 29 to 507 of the family's 1533-position model. The record is from RNAcentral.